AGCGAACGCUGGCGGCAGGCUUAACACAUGCAAGUCGAACGCCCGGGCAACCGGGAGUGGCAGACGGGUGAGUAACGCGUGGGAACAUACCCUUUGGUUCGGAAUAACUCAGGGAAACUUGAGCUAAUACCGGAUAAGCCCUUAUGGGGAAAGAUUUAUCGCCGAAGGAUUGGCCCGCGUCCGAUUAGCUAGUUGGUGAGGUAACGGUUCACCAAGGCGACGAUCGGUAGCUGGUCUGAGAGGAUGGUCAGCCACACUGGGACUGUGACGCGGCCCAGACUCGUACGGGAGGCAGCAGUGGGGAAUAUUGGACAAUGGGGGCAACCCUGAUCCAGCCAUGCCGCGUGAGUGAUGAAGGCCCUAGGGUUGUAAAGCUCUUUCGGCGGGGACGAUAAUGACGGUACCCGCAGAAGAAGCCCCGGCUAACUUCGUGCCAGCCGCCGCGGUAA
RNAcentral lists this ribosomal RNA (449 nucleotides) under uncultured bacterium. Its description in RNAcentral is "partial 16S ribosomal RNA". It matches the Rfam family "Bacterial small subunit ribosomal RNA", at positions 29 to 523 of the family's 1533-position model. The record is from RNAcentral.